AGAGUUUGAUCCUGGCUCAGAACGAACGCUGGCGGCAGGCCUAACACAUGCAAGUCGAGCGCCCGCAAGGGAGCGGCAGACGGGUGAGUAACGCGUGGGAACGUGCCCUUUGGUUCGGAAUAUUCCCGGGAAACUGGGAGCAAAACCGGAUAAGCCCUUCGGGGGAAAGUUUACGCCAAAGGAUCGGCCCGCGUUAGAUUAGGUAGUUGGUGGGGUAACGGCCUACCAAGCCUACGAUCUAUAGCUGAUCUGAGAGGAUGAUCAGCCACACUGGGACUGAGACACGGCCCAGACUCCUACGGGAGGCAGCAGUGGGGAACCUUGGACAAUGGGCGCAAGCCUGAUCCAGCCGUGCCGCGUGGAUGACUGAAGGCCCUAGGGUUGUAAAGUCCUUUCGACGGGGACGAUAAUGACGGUACCCGUAGAAGAAGCCCCGGCUAACUUCGUGCCAGCAGCCGCGGUAAUACGAAGGGGGCUAGCGUUGUUCGGAUUUACUGGGCGUAAAGGGCGCGUAGGCGGAUUUUUAAGUCGGGGGUGAAAUCCCGGAGCUCAACUCCGGAACUGCCUUCGAUACUGGAAGUCUGGAGCACGGUAGAGGUGAGUGGAAUUCCGAGUGUAGCGGUGAAAUGCGUAGA
RNAcentral lists this ribosomal RNA (635 nucleotides) under uncultured bacterium. RNAcentral's name for it is "bacterial SSU rRNA". It matches the Rfam family "Bacterial small subunit ribosomal RNA", at positions 8 to 694 of the family's 1533-position model. The record is from RNAcentral.